Molecule: ribosomal RNA, 253 nt
Filed under: uncultured bacterium
Lineage: Bacteria
Description: partial 16S ribosomal RNA
Rfam family: Bacterial small subunit ribosomal RNA
Source: RNAcentral
UACGUGGGGUGCAAGCGUUGUUCGGAAUUACUGGGCGUAAAGCGCGUGUAGGCGGCCUAUUAUGUCAGGUGUGAAAGCCCUCGGCCUAACCGAGGAAGUGCGCCUGAAACUGCUAGGCUUGAGUACGAGAGAGGAGGACGGAAUUCCCAGUGUAGAGGUGAAAUGCGUAGAUAUCGGGAGGAACACCAGUGGCGAAGGCGACUACCUGGCCUGUUCUUGACGCUGAGGCGCGAAAGCAUGGGGAGCAAAAGGG